Molecule: transfer RNA, 75 nt
Filed under: Gaiellaceae bacterium
Lineage: Bacteria; Bacillati; Actinomycetota; Thermoleophilia; Gaiellales; Gaiellaceae
Also listed under: 2 other names
Description: tRNA-Pro
Rfam family: tRNA
About the family: Transfer RNA (tRNA) molecules are approximately 80 nucleotides in length. Their secondary structure includes four short double-helical elements and three loops (D, anti-codon, and T loops).
Source: RNAcentral
CGGGGCGUAGCGCAGCCUGGUUAGCGCGCCUGCUUUGGGAGCAGGAGGUCGCCGGUUCGAAUCCGGCCGCCCCGA